Molecule: RNA transcript, 8093 nt
Organism: Pongo pygmaeus (Bornean orangutan)
Lineage: Eukaryota; Metazoa; Chordata; Mammalia; Primates; Hominidae
Gene: CCDC17
Gene name: coiled-coil domain containing 17
Exons: 13
Source: RefSeq, a predicted model, not a curated record
UGUGAUCUGCCCGCCUCAGCCUCCCAAAGUUCUGGGAUUACAGGCGUGAGCCACUGCACCCGGCCCAUUCAACAAAUACUUUCUAAGCCCCUGUUGUAUGUCCCAGGCAUUAUGCAAGGCUCUGAGGAUGCAAGGAGUGCCCAGCCCAGUAGGGGAGAGAAUAGACAGUGAUCUAAGAAAAGGACAGGGGUUCAAGACCAGCCUGGGCAACACAGUGACCUGUGUCUACAAAAAAACAAAAACAUUAAAAUAGUCAGGUCCGGCCAGGCGUGGUGGCUCAUGCCUGUAAUCCCAGCACUUUGGGAGGCUGAAGCGGGUGGAUCACCUGAGGUCAAGAGUUCGAGACCAGCCUGGCUGAUGUGGUGAAACCCCAUCUCUACUGAAAAUACAAAAAAUUAGCUGGGCAUGGUGGCGGGUGCCCGUAGUCCCAACUACUCGGGAGGCUGAGGCAGGAGAUUGGCAUGAACCCGGGAGGCAGAGCUUGCAGUGAGCUGAGAUGGCACCACUGCACUCCAGCAUGGGAGAAAGAGCGAGACUCCAUCUCAAAAAAUAAAAAUAAAAUAAAAAAUAAUUAGCCAGGCAUGGCAGCAAGCACCUGUAAUCCUAACUAUUUAGGAGGCUGAGGCAGGAGAAUUGCUUGAGCCCAGGAGGCAGAGGUUGCAGUGAGCCCAUACUGCACCAUUGCACUCCAGCCUGGGCAACAGAGCAAGACUGUCUCAAAAAAAGGAAACAAAAUAGCGAGGUCCACGUGGUAGCACGCACUUGUAGUCCCAGCUUCUUGGGAGGCUAAGGCAGGAGGAUUACUUGAUUCCAAGACAGUUCAGGGCUACAGUGAGCCAUGAUGGCACCACUACAAUCCAGCCUGGAUGACAGAGUGAGACCCUGUCUCUUGGGGGGAAAAAAAAAUUGGUAGUAGUAUUUCUACCGAAUGCCUAUCACUGUUGCAUCAUUGUAAAGUCAACCAGUCAAAAGUCUAACCAUUGAAAAUCGGGACAGACUUAGUUGUUGAAAAGUAGGUUUCGAUUUGGGCUUUGCCAUUUACUUGUUUUCUGAGAACAUAUUUCUAAAAAUGUACACUUUAUGUCAGUUGGAAUUAAGCUGAACUGAGAUGACAUACUUUGAACACUUUGUAACUUGCUGCUGGUGGGUCAUACCUUGGCUUUAGGUACUGAGUAGGGAAAUGUCUUAAGUCCGUGUCUUGUUUAGAAAAGGGGAUUUCGGCCGGGCGUGGUGGCUCACACCUAUAAUCUCAGCACUUUGGGAGGCCGAGGCGGGCGAAUCGCAAGGUCAGGAGAUCGAAACCAUCCUGGCUAACACGGUGAAACCCCGUCUCUACUAAAAAUACAAAAAAUUAGCCAGGCAUAAGGCCAGGCGCAGUGGCUCACGCCUGUAAUCUCAGCACUUUGGGAGGCCAAGGUGGGCGGAUCACGAGGUCAGGAGAUCGAGACCAUCCUGGCUAACAGAGUGAAACCCCGUCUCUACUAAAAAUUCAAAAAAAUUAGCCGGGCGCAGUGGCGGGCACCUGUAGUCUCAGCUACUGAGGAGGCUGAGGCAGGAGAAUGGCCUGAACCCAGGAGGUGGAGCUUGCAGUGAGCCCAGAUAGUGCCACUGCACUCUGGCCUGGGCGAAAGAGCGAGACUCUGUCUCAAAAAAAAAAAAAAAAAUUAGCCGGGUGUGGUGGCAGGCACCUGUAGUCCCAGCUACUGGGGAGGCUGAGGCAGGAGAAUGGCGUCAACCUGGGAGGCAGAGCUUGCAGUGAGCCGAGAUCGCGCCAUUGCACUCUAGCCUGGGCAACAGAGCGAGACUGUCUCAAAAAAAAAAAGAAAAAGAAAAGGGUGUUUCUUGGCCGGGCGCGGUGGCUUACGCCUGUAAUCCCAGCACUUUGGAGGCCGAGGCAGGCGGAUCACGAGGUCAGGAGAUCGAGACCAUCCUGGCUAACAUGGUGAAACCCCGUCUCUACUAAAAAAUAGAAAAAAUGAGCUGGGCGUGGUGGCGGGCACCUGUAGUCUCAGCUACUCGGGAGGCUGAGGCAGGAGAAUGGCGUGAAUCCAGGAGGCAGAGCUCAUUGCAGUGAGCUAAGAUCGUGCCACUGCACUUCAGCCUGGGCGACAGAGCGAGACUCCAUCUCAAAAAAAAAAAAAAAAAAGUAAAGAGGGUUUCUUAAGAAAUAUGCGAUCACCUCAGAGCUCCUGCAUAUAUUUUGGGAGUGGGAGUGGAGUGAACAAUUUCACCAACAGUUCAGGGCCUUUCUGGCUUCUGGCCAACCUUGGGAGAGAGAAGGGGUUUCUUUCUGGACUUGAUUCCCUCAUCUGAUAGAUUCAUUCUGUUCGCCCACAGCUUUCAUUUCUUGGGCUGUGCUGAUUAUCUCCGUCUACAGCUGAAAAAUGAGGAAUCAGGGAAUGGGAGUUAGGGAGAGACUGCUAUCCCUGGUGCGACAUGGUUUCCAGGCAGAGUGCUGGAAAGGUCAGAGUGCCUCCUUUGCCAGGCAGUUCUCUGGAUUGGAGAAUGGUGCAAACUGUUACAUCCACUUGGGAGUACAGCAAUGAAAAAGAUGACACUUGCCUUUUAGAGGCUAUUAAAUGACCAAUGAUGUAGUAAGUGAUAAGGGAACAGGUAGUCUAGGAGGCAGCUGUUUUUUCCUCUUUAUUAAUAGUCAGGGAAACCAAGCUACAGUUAGAGACUUGCCCACGUUCAGACUUCGUAACACUUUUUCAAGCCAGUGGCUCCUCCCAAAUGGCCCAGGUUUCCCCACCCAUUUUCCUGACCUGCCCAGCCCUGUGGUUGCUGUCCAGGGAGCUAAGGCUCUCCCCAAACAAACUUGAAGAUCUCACAGACCUAAUAGACCUGGCCUUUCCUCUCUGCCUCUGGCUUUAUGUCUCUUUCAUCCUCCUCUGCCUUUCCCCUGCCCUUGAUCCCUUCUGCAGGUCUUGGCUGGUUUCAGGAAACAGGUCCCAUCCCAUGGACUCCCACUCUGGGGAGCCAGCGCUCCUGCCCUGUGGGACCUGUGACAUGGUUUUCCGCUCCUCAGCUCUGUUGGCCACCCACACUCAGCGCUUCUGCAUUGGCCACCCGACCCAAGAGAUGACAUUUGGAGCACAGGCGUCAGUUGCCACUGAACCCCAGCGGGCCGCGGUUGUGCCACAAGAACUCCAGGGCGUGCCACAAGAACCCCAGGGCCUCCCAGACCAGCAGGCCAGUAAAUCUGCUCUAAAGAGGUUAACAGAGGAGGUGCAGUGGCUGCGGCUAUCCCUACAGGAAAUGCGGCCCUGGAUAACAGAGGUCCCCAGGGUGUUCGCGGGGCCCUGGACGCGUUCCGAGGCGCGGCCUCAGAGUCCCAUGUCGGAGGCGGUGGGAAGCCCCAGCGAGCGGCUGCGGGCGCUGUUCAGGACUCGCGCGAGGCGCGUGGCGGAGAUGGAAGCGCAGAGCCGGGCCCUGCAGCGACGCGGCGAGGAACUGAGCCGGCGCCUCCAAGUUGUGGCCUGUACACGGGGCGGGAUGUCCCGCCUCUUCGGCCUGGAGCAGGAGAUUCGAGAACUACAAGCUGAGGCCGGGAGGACGCGGGGAGCUCUAGAGGUGUUGGGGGCCCGCAUUCAGGAGCUGCAGGCGGAGCCAGGGAACCCGCUGAGCUCCCGGCGAGAGGCAGAACUUUAUUCUCCAGUGCUAAAGGCCAACCCGGGAACUCUGGCUGCCGAAAUCCGGGCCCUGCGGGAGGCCUACAUUCGAGACGGGGGCCGGGACCCCGGCGUGCUGGGCCAGAUAUGGCAGUUGCAGUUGGAGGCGUCUGCACUGGAGCUGCAGCGGUCGCAGACCCGCAGAGGAAGGGCAGGUGCCACCUCAGGGGAGCUCCCAGUAGUGGAGGCUGAAAACCGGCGCCUGGAGGCAGAAAUCUUGGCCUUGCAAAUGCAGAGGGGUCGGGCACCCUUGGGGCCCCAGGAUCUGCGACUCCUGGGGGAUGCCAGCCUACAACCAAAGGGGAGGCGAGAUCCCCCACUCCUCCCGCCGCCGGUGGCACCACCGCUGCCACCACUUCCAGGCUUCUCGGAGGUUCAGUUCUUGGGUGGGGGAAAGGCUGUGAGGACACGGGGUGGGUUGGGGGAACAGGUUGGAGGCAGCUCUGCUCUGAGCAGUUGGGGGAACAUGAGCAGCUACAAGGCUUUCUGGAGGAGUCAGCUCUCUUCCCCACAGCCACAGCUUCCUGGAACAAUGACCAGAAACCUGGGCCUGGACCCACACUUCCUCCUGCCCACAUCGGACGUGCUGGGCCCUGCACCCUAUGAUCCUGGGGCUGGCCUGGUCAUUUUCUAUGAUUUCCUGCGGGGCCUUGAGGCUUCCUGGAUUUGGGUGCAACUAAGGACUGGCUUGGCACGCAAUGGACAGGAUACAGGAAGGACCACAGCGUUGCCCCCAGCCCUUUGCCUGCCCCCACCUCCUGCUCCUGGGCCCAUGGGCAACUGUGCCAUCCUUGCCAGCAGGCAGCCUGUGCCCAGACUACUACCCUCACCAUCAGUAUCUUUGGUCUGUGAGCUGCAGGUAUGGCAGGGGCUGGCAUGGGCUAGGGCAGCACAGCCAAAGGCUUGGGUCUCACUUGGACUAUUUGACCAAGAUCAGCGGGUGCUAAGUGGCCGCUGGCGCCUCCCACUUCGGGCCCUUCCUCUGGACCCCAGCCUUAGCCUUGGGCAGCUGAAUGGGAUUCCUCAGGCAGGUCAGGCUGAGCUCUUUCUGCGGCUGGUGAAUGCAAGAGAUGCAGCUGUCCAGACACUGGCAGAGAUCAAUCCAGCAAAUGUCCAUGAGUACCAGCACCCACCUCCGGUGUCCAGCACAUCUUCACUGGAAGCCAACUUCCUCACCCCCGCAGUUGGCUUUGCUGAUCCCCCACCUCGUACAGAAGAGCCCCUCAGUGGAGUCAAGGAUAGAUAUGAGGGUCUGGGCCCUCACCACAGUUCUGACUUGCCCCAGUGAGUAACGGAACCCAAGUGAAUGUGGAGAUGAACAUCUGAACAUGCACAGGACUGGGGCCUAUUUCCAGACCUACAGCUUUACUACUCCAUGUUCUGACAUUGGGUCUAGAAGCAACUAGCAGUUGAGUACAGAAAAUGAGUUCCAACCACAGCUUUACCACCUCCCAUCUUCUACUUAUGAACAAUUACAUAAACCCAAGGUCACAGCAGCAGUACUCACAAUAAAAAGCAAGGAAAUUCUGACACACCACAACAUGGAUGAACGUUAAGAACGCUAUGCUAAGUGAAAUAAGCCAGUCACGAAAAGGUAAAUAUUCUAUUAUUCCAUUUAUAUGAGGUAUCUAAAGUAGCCAAAUUCAGAGACAGAAAGCAGAAUGGUGGUUGCCAGGGGCUAGGGAAGACAGAGGGAGUUGUUUAGUGGGUAAUAGUUUCAGAUUUGCAAGAUAAGAUUGGGUAUACAACAAUGUGAAUUUACUUAACACUACUGACUUACACACUUAAAAAUAUGGAAAAUUUUAUAUUAUGUGUGUUUUACCACAACUUAAAAAUCAAUUUCAUCAGAACAGUCAAAGUAUUAGGAUACUGUCAGUCUCACAACAACAGCUGAUAUAUAACUUAUCCAAAAUUUUUAUUUUUCAUGUGAAAGCUCACAUUCUAUCACUAGCACCCAAUACUGUCAGUUAUUUCCCUUAAAGUGACAGGCUCACUGUAUUCAUUUUGGAGAAAACAUCUGCUAAGUAUCAAGUCUAAAUAAGUUUGUCUGUUGGUCAUUCUUUCAAAAAUAAAACUUUCGAAUAAAACAUUCUUUCAAAUAAAAGCCAGUAAAGUUACAUGAAAAAAGUAGCUCAAUCAACUCUUAAUUAAAAUCACACAACGGCUUUUCAUAAAGAAAACCACUGUACCUACUUUUGAUAUGCUGAAGCGCUCCAUCCAUAAUUCCUAUUUUGCCAGGUUACCUUAAAACCAUGUAGUCAAGGACUGAGAAUUAAUAAACUUAAGUUUGUAAUGCUUCAUCAUGGACAUUUUCUAAGUGAAGGUGAUAGUGAAGAACACAAGAAUUGCUAGUACUAUUUGUUGCCACUGCCUUGAUUUAUGUUAAGGUAACAGCAGGUUUAUCCACCAUUACUUUUGCACGAUCACUGCCAGUGGUCAAAAAGGCAGUCUUGUUAGUACAAAAACAGUUUUGAUCUUACAUUAUCCCUGAAAGAGUACUGGAGACCCCAAAGGUAUACAACAAAAAAACUUUGAGAACUGCUGAAUAAGAGCAUGAACAGGCAUUCAAAAGGAGAGAAUAUAUGGGUAAAGAUUUAUGGCACAGUGUUAAGAAAUUUCUCUUCGUAUUGUUUAUUCAGUGAACAAACAAAAAUCCAGAACCAAACAUAAAACAAACGAAAAUCAUCAGGUAAAAGCAAGAUGAGGGGUAUGGUGUUGAAUGUUUAAGAAUAUAUAAAGAAAAAGUUGAUCAGCUGGGUGCAGUGGCUCAUGCCUGUAAUUGCAACAACACAGGAGGCUGAAGAGGGAGCAUCAUAGGGAGGCCAGGAGUUCAAGACCUGCCUGAGCAACAUUAAUAAGACCCUGUCUCUAAAACACACACACACACAAAACUUAGUCUGGGAGGCUGAGGCAGGAGUAUCUCUUGAGCCCAGGAGUUUCAGGCUGCACCAAGCCAGGAUCAGGACCCACUGUACUCCAGCCUGAGUGGCUGAGCAAUACCCUGACUCAAAGGGGGAAAAUAAGAAGGAAAGAUUAAGCAAUUCCGCAGAAUGGGAAAACAACUUGACCGGAGAAAUGCAGUAUAACUGCCAAUCAAAACUAAAAACCCACUUCAGGUCAGAGGUUAUAAAUUUAAGGUGAGACUAAUAAUGUGUUUUCCAACCAUCCUUCAUGUUUCUCUCAGAAUCAGAAUAUUCUGGUCCUCUAAAAAUCAAACGCUUAUGCCAAGCAUAGUGGCUCACACCUGUAAUCCAGCACUUCAGGUGGCUGAGGUGAGAAGAUGGCUUGAGCCCCAACCUGGGCAACAUGACGAAACCUCAUCUCUAAAAACAAAAUACAAAAAUUAGCCAGGCAUGGUGGCACCCAUCUGUGGUCCUAGCUACCCAGGAGGCUAAAGCAGGAGGAUCACCUGAGCCCAGGGAAGGUCAAGGCUGCAGUGAGCCACGAUUGCACCACUGUACUCCAACCUGGACGAUGGAGUUUAAUACUGAUGAUUACAUAUCAAGCACUGUGUUUUGGGUAGCCUAGCUACAUUUAGUCAGUCCAGAAACUUAAAUACUAUGGUACAUCCUAUGAGUAACCCCCUUGAAAGUAUUGUGUUUAGGAUCAAUCCUAAACAGUAUUCAGUAUUCAUACCACCCAAAUACCAGAUUAACUCAUAAGAUAUUUUGUUUUGUUUUUUUGAGAGUUUCGCUCAUCACCCAGGCUGGAGUGCAGUAGUGUGAUCUUGGCUGACUGCAACUUCCACCUCCCGGGUUCAAGUGAUUCUUCUGCCUCAGCCUCCCAAGUAGCUGGAAUUACAGGUGCUCGCCACCACGACCGACUAAUUUUUGUAUCUUUUUUAGUAGAGAUGGGGUUUCACCAUGUUGGCCAGGCUGAUCUUGAACUCCUGACCUCAGGUGAUUCACCCACCUCAGCCUCCCAAAGUGCUGGGAUUACAGGUGUGAGCCACUGCGCCUAGCCCUUUUUUUUUUCUUUCCUUUUUUUUUUGGAGACAGGGUCUCACUCUGUCACCCAGACUAGAGUGCAGUGGCAGGAUCAUAGCUCACCACAACUUCGACUUCCUGGGAUUCCACAAUCCUCCUACCUCAGCCUCCCCAAUAUCUGGGACCACACACAAGUGCCACAACGAACAGUUAAUUAAAAAAAAAAUUUUUUUUGUAGAGAUAGUGUCUUGCUAUGUUGCCCAGGCUGGUCUUGAACUCCUGGAGUCAUGUGAUCCUUUCAGAGAUGGAGGUCUUGCUUGGCCUCCCAAAGUGUUGGGAUUACUGGUGUAAGCUACCACACCCAGCCAAGCAGUAUUUUAUAACUUAUUUUAACCCUUUUCCCGUUUAAGAGAAAAAAAAAAAGUACAGUUCACUGCCAGCACUCAUUUAAUUUUACAUAAACAUGUUCUUUGAAGCUGAAGCAAAUCUGACUUUC